This 506-nucleotide ribosomal RNA is filed under the name uncultured bacterium. Its description in RNAcentral is "partial 16S ribosomal RNA". It matches the Rfam family "Bacterial small subunit ribosomal RNA", at positions 29 to 523 of the family's 1533-position model. The record is from RNAcentral.
AGUGAACGCUGGCGGUAGGCCUAACACAUGCAAGUCGAACGGCAGCACAGAGGAGCUUGCUCCUUGGGUGGCGAGUGGCGGACGGGUGAGGAAUACAUCGGAAUCUACUCUGUCGUGGGGGAUAACGUAGGGAAACUUACGCUAAUACCGCAUACGACCUACGGGUGAAAGCAGGGGAUCUUCGGACCUUGCGCGAUUGAAUGAGCCGAUGUCGGAUUAGCUAGUUGGCGGGGUAAAGGCCCACCAAGGCGACGAUCCGUAGCUGGUCUGAGAGGAUGAUCAGCCACACUGGAACUGGUACACGGUCCAGACUCCGACGGGAGGCAGCAGUGGGGAAUAUUGGACAAUGGGCGCAAGCCUGAUCCAGCCAUACCGCGUGGGUGAAGAAGGCCUUCGGGUUGUAAAGCCCUUUUGUUGGGAAAGAAAUCCAUCUGGUUAAUACCCGGGUGGGAUGACGGUACCCAAAGAAUAAGCACCGGCUAACUUCGUGCCAGCAGCCGCCGUAA